AUGCUGCUGUUUAGAUGGUUUGUUUGUAUGUGUACAGUAAUCACUCCUGAAUUUGUCUUUCUGUUGCAGGGGGAACCAGGUCUGCCAGGUGCAGAAAAACUCUCGGUUGAGCAGCAAGCUCAAAAAGGGGACCAGGGUCCCCCAGGAAUUCCUGGAGAAAAGGGAGACGCUGGCCUGCCGGGUCAAACAGGAGCACCAGGGAAAGAGGGCAAAAGGGGUCGACGGGGGAAGACAGGAGAACCAGGGACUCCAGGACCCCCGGUAAGAAUUACAGUUUAUAGUAUGUGUAACAUUUGACAAGAAAAUUACCAAAAGUGAAACUUGGUCGCUUUGAAAAGCUGAAUGGCCUUUUCCAACCAAUCAUGAUCUUGGGAGUGCAACAGGAGAAGAAAAUGAAAAUUAAUUCAAAAUAUAUUCUCAGUAAUCCAACAUUGUUAUUAUUUUUCUAACAGUUUUUACAUGAAUUUGCAAAGACCCCACAAAGUAUUUCUAUAUACAAGUGUGCAUUUGCUUUAUUCCCGCCUGCCUGAUUUGAUAUCUUAUUAUAUACAGUAAUACAAUGAAAUUCAAAAAUAGUUUCUAGUGUCCAAUUACUCUUUAGAGGCUCUGCAUCUUGUUUUAGACAUAUCUUGAUAUUUUUACAGCUCAGGAAUUGAUUUGAUCCGCAUUAGCAAAUAAUAAACGAAGUGGAUUGGUUCUGAGGAUUUAGUUGUAUUAAAUUAGUGCAGAAAAUCCCUAUUAAAUAAAUCAAAAAAUAAAUAACUUCAAGUUUGAUACCAGAUAUUUGAUAUAUAUGAGCAUUAAUAUCAAGCCCACACAGAAUGUGUUGCCGCAAAGCUCUGCAGAAAUCUCCACAUAUUUCUAUGCCUGUCAUUCAAAAAGUUUUAAACCCUUAGUGUUUUUUUCAUAAGUUUAUUUCAGCUACUAACAAGUGUAGUAACUCUAUUUUACCAUAUUUAAAUCCAUGCUCCAGCAUUCUGCAAAUUUCUCCUAUCACUUGAAAUGUAAAGUCUAGAUGGCCGAAAGUAUUUCAAGUUUAGAAAUGUUUUUGUUCCCAAAUGCUGUUUAAAAUGGUUCAUUUUAAUAAAAUGGAAUUAGAAUAUAAAUAAAUGUUAAAUUGAUAUAAAUACAUGUAGGUUUUGAAAUGCAGCUCAUUUUUACCAUUUAGUUUAUAUCAUUUCUCAUUUCCUUCCCCCGCUAUUCGUUUCAGAUUCAGAAAGCAUAACUGUUGUCAUAAAUCUGCUUCAAAAGCAAACCAAAUUUGUCAUUGUGCAUAAUGGACAGAUACCUGCUGCUAUAUUAAUCCCCCUCCAGAUGAGUUUUCUUGGUUUAUGCGUUGGUUCAAUUGAAAUCUCCAUCACAUGCGCUGUUUAGCUCAACGUUUCAAAUUACGAUUUCAAGCAGCCCAGAGGGCCAUAUUAAGAGCAGUCCCAUGCAUAAGUGUUAUUGAAGAUCCUAAUGAGACUCUCAAAGGGGCCCUAUUUUACUGCUUGAAUAAUAGUCAUCUCUUCAAAGCUGUGGCAUCAGUAUGGAAAUGUCUGUGACAUAAAAAUCACACACACACACACACACACAAUCUUCAGGCUUUGAAACCUAUGUUGCAUCAUACAUUUCUGGCAUUUUUACAUUGCCUUUGGCUUUGUGGUUGUACCCACAUAUGUAGAACAGUGUAAGUUAAGUGGAAAAUGAGUGAUUAAUAGAUUGCUAUACUGAGUGAAGAGGAAUAAAGGAAUACUUCUCUACAUAAUAGAAUUCAAGAGAGUGCAAAUAAUGCCAGAAUUUCCAAGACCAUUUGACUUUUUUUUUUCUUCUUUUUUUUAUAGACUUCAUGGUUGCUCUGUUUUUCACACAAAGCCAUCAUGUUGCUACAGAAGAACUUGAUGUAUCAUAUGGAACACAUUUAUGUAUCAUUUAUAUGAUGUUUUAGACUCAGUUCAUUGUAAAUGCAUUUUCUAGAAAGCAAAUAUGGCUGAGUUUUCAUUUUUGGUUCUGCUGUAUCUUUAAAGAUUAAGUAAGCUGUAAACCGAAUAACAAAUACUACCAGAUCUGCUCUGCAUACUAACAAUGUCUGACCGUUUAGUUUCACACAUUCCAUUACAGGAAAGUUAUAAAAUGGUGGACGCAAUCAUAAGUGUCGGGAGGGAAGAGGUUGUGACAUUUUUAAAUGGCAGUGUCUAGAUAAUUUCCAUGGCAUGUGCCAACCUUGCUUCUGUCCUCGGGAGCUGGCAUUUAUGAGUGGCCUGUCGUCUGUGGUGUUUGGGAGGAGGAGGAGGAGGGCCUCGGGCAGCACAGACAUCCUCCCCCAGCCUCGAGGUGUCGAGGAAUGCCACGUGCAGUCCAGGAGGCCCUUAUCUAU
This is a long non-coding RNA of Carassius auratus (goldfish), 2356 nucleotides long. Lineage: Eukaryota; Metazoa; Chordata; Actinopteri; Cypriniformes; Cyprinidae. The record is from Ensembl.